This 581-nucleotide ribosomal RNA is filed under the name Sarcocystis cruzi. RNAcentral's name for it is "SSU rRNA". It matches the Rfam family "Eukaryotic small subunit ribosomal RNA", at positions 145 to 699 of the family's 1831-position model. Lineage: Eukaryota; Apicomplexa; Conoidasida; Eucoccidiorida; Sarcocystidae. The record is from RNAcentral.
AACCGUGGUAAUUCUAUGGCUAAUACAUGCGCAAAUAUCUUUUUUCGCAAGAAAGAGGAUAGUGUUUAUUAGAUACAGAACCAAUACACCAUCUGUUAACAGCAGGUGGUGUAAAAAAGGUGAUUCAUAGUAACCGAACGGAUCGCAUUAUGGUCAUUUUAUAUGGCUGGCGAUAGAUCAUUCAAGUUUCUGACCUAUCAGCUUUCGACGGUAGUGUAUUGGACUACCGUGGCAGUGACGGGUAACGGGGAAUUAGGGUUCGAUUCCGGAGAGGGAGCCUGAGAAACGGCUACCACAUCUAAGGAAGGCAGCAGGCGCGCAAAUUACCCAAUCCUGACUCAGGGAGGUAGUGACAAGAAAUAACAACACUGGAAAUUUUAUUUCUAGUGAUUGGAAUGAUGGGAAUUUAAACCCCUUUCAGAGUAACAAUUGGAGGGCAAGUCUGGUGCCAGCAGCCGCGGUAAUUCCAGCUCCAAUAGCGUAUAUUAAAGUUGUUGCAGUUAAAAAGCUCGUAGUUGGAUGUCUGCUGGAAGCAAUCAGUCCGCCCUAUUUGUAGGGUGUGCACUUGAUGAAUUCUGGCA